CCUACGGGGGGCUGCAGUGGGGAAUAUUGGACAAUGGGCGAAAGCCUGAUCCAGCCAUGCCGCGUGUGUGAAGAAGGCCUUCGGGUUGUAAAGCACUUUCAGUGGGGAAGAAAGCCUUGGGGCUAAUACCCUCGAGGAAGGACAUCACCCACAGAAGAAGCACCGGCUAACUCCGUGCCAGCAGCCGCGGUAAUACGGAGGGUUCGAGCGUUAAUCGGAAUUACUGGGCGUAAAGCGCGCGUAGGCGGUCUGAUAAGCCGGUUGUGAAAGCCCCGGGCUCAACCUGGGAACGGCAUCCGGAACUGUCAGGCUAGAGUGCAGGAGAGGAAGGUAGAAUUCCCGGUGUAGCGGUGAAAUGCGUAGAGAUCGGGAGGAAUACCAGUGGCGAAGGCGGCCUUCUGGACUGACACUGACGCUGAGGUGCGAAAGCGUGGGUAGCAAACAGGAUUAGAUACCCCGGUAGUC
This 465-nucleotide ribosomal RNA is filed under the name Vreelandella stevensii. RNAcentral describes it as "partial 16S ribosomal RNA". It matches the Rfam family "Bacterial small subunit ribosomal RNA", at positions 338 to 795 of the family's 1533-position model. Lineage: Bacteria; Pseudomonadati; Pseudomonadota; Gammaproteobacteria; Oceanospirillales; Halomonadaceae. The record is from RNAcentral.